GCAGUAGCCACGGUAAUACAGAGGGUGCAAGCGUUAAUCGGAAUUACUGGGCGUAAAGCGCGCGUAGGUGGUUUGUUAAGUUGGAUGUGAAAGCCCCGGGCUCAACCUGGGAACUGCAUCCAAAACUGGCAAGCUAGAGUACGGUAGAGGGUGGUGGAAUUUCCUGUGUAGCGGUGAAAUGCGUAGAUAUAGGAAGGAACACCAGUGGCGAAGGCGACCACCUGGACUGAUACUGACACUGAGGUGCGAAAGCGUGGGGAGCAAACAGGAUUAGAUACCCCUGUAGUCCCUGUCUCUUAUAU
This 302-nucleotide ribosomal RNA is filed under the name uncultured bacterium. RNAcentral's name for it is "partial 16S ribosomal RNA". It matches the Rfam family "Bacterial small subunit ribosomal RNA", at positions 508 to 809 of the family's 1533-position model. The record is from RNAcentral.